This 269-nucleotide ribosomal RNA is filed under the name uncultured Sphingomonas sp. RNAcentral's name for it is "partial 16S ribosomal RNA". It matches the Rfam family "Bacterial small subunit ribosomal RNA", at positions 107 to 392 of the family's 1533-position model. Lineage: Bacteria; Pseudomonadati; Pseudomonadota; Alphaproteobacteria; Sphingomonadales; Sphingomonadaceae. The record is from RNAcentral.
UGCGUAACGCGUGGGAAUCUGCCUUUAGGUUCGGGAUAACAGUUAGAAAUGACUGCUAAUACCGGAUGAUGUCUUCGGACCAAAGAUUUAUCGCCUUUAGAUGGGCCCGCGUUGGAUUAGCUAGUUGGUGGGGUAAAGGCCUACCAAGGCGACGAUCCAUAGCUGGUCUGAGAGGAUGAUCAGCCACACUGGGACUGAGACACGGCCCAGACUCCUACGGGAGGCAGCAGUGGGGAAUAUUGGACAAUGGGCGCAAGCCUGAUCCAGCA